RNAcentral lists this ribosomal RNA (2666 nucleotides) under Klebsiella pneumoniae. RNAcentral's name for it is "bacterial LSU rRNA". It matches the Rfam family "Bacterial large subunit ribosomal RNA". Lineage: Bacteria; Pseudomonadati; Pseudomonadota; Gammaproteobacteria; Enterobacterales; Enterobacteriaceae. The record is from RNAcentral.
CCCCAGUAGCGGCGAGCGAACGGGGAGCAGCCCAGAGUCUGAAUCAGCUUGUGUGUUAGUGGAACGGUCUGGAAAGUCCGACGGUACAGGGUGAUAGUCCCGUACACCAAAAUGCACAGGCUGUGAACUCGAAGAGUAGGGCGGGACACGUGGUAUCCUGUCUGAAUAUGGGGGGACCAUCCUCCAAGGCUAAAUACUCCUGACUGACCGAUAGUGAACCAGUACCGUGAGGGAAAGGCGAAAAGAACCCCGGCGAGGGGAGUGAAAAAGAACCUGAAACCGUGUACGUACAAGCAGUGGGAGCACCUUCGGGUGUGACUGCGUACCUUUUGUAUAAUGGGUCAGCGACUUAUAUUCUGUAGCAAGGUUAACCGUAUAGGGGAGCCGCAGGGAAACCGAGUCUUAACUGGGCGUUAAGUUGCAGGGUAUAGACCCGAAACCCGGUGAUCUAGCCAUGGGCAGGUUGAAGGUUGGGUAACACUAACUGGAGGACCGAACCGACUAAUGUUGAAAAAUUAGCGGAUGACUUGUGGCUGGGGGUGAAAGGCCAAUCAAACCGGGAGAUAGCUGGUUCUCCCCGAAAGCUAUUUAGGUAGCGCCUCGUGAACUCAUCUUCGGGGGUAGAGCACUGUUUCGGCUAGGGGGUCAUCCCGACUUACCAACCCGAUGCAAACUACGAAUACCGAAGAAUGUUAUCACGGGAGACACACGGCGGGUGCUAACGUCCGUCGUGAAGAGGGAAACAACCCAGACCGCCAGCUAAGGUCCCAAAGUCAUGGUUAAGUGGGAAACGAUGUGGGAAGGCACAGACAGCCAGGAUGUUGGCUUAGAAGCAGCCAUCAUUUAAAGAAAGCGUAAUAGCUCACUGGUCGAGUCGGCCUGCGCGGAAGAUGUAACGGGGCUAAACCAUGCACCGAAGCUGCGGCAGCGACACUAUGUGUUGUUGGGUAGGGGAGCGUUCUGUAAGCCUGCGAAGGUGACCUGCGAGGGUUGCUGGAGGUAUCAGAAGUGCGAAUGCUGACAUAAGUAACGAUAAAGCGGGUGAAAAGCCCGCUCGCCGGAAGACCAAGGGUUCCUGUCCAACGUUAAUCGGGGCAGGGUGAGUCGACCCCUAAGGCGAGGCCGAAAGGCGUAGUCGAUGGGAAACAGGUUAAUAUUCCUGUACUUGGUGUUACUGCGAAGGGGGGACGGAGAAGGCUAUGUUAGCCGGGCGACGGUUGUCCCGGUUUAAGCAUGUAGGCUGGUUAUCCAGGCAAAUCCGGAUAAUCAAGGCUGAGGUGUGAUGACGAGGCACUACGGUGCUGAAGUAACAAAUGCCCUGCUUCCAGGAAAAGCCUCUAAGCAUCAGGUAACAUCAAAUCGUACCCCAAACCGACACAGGUGGUCAGGUAGAGAAUACCAAGGCGCUUGAGAGAACUCGGGUGAAGGAACUAGGCAAAAUGGUGCCGUAACUUCGGGAGAAGGCACGCUGGUGUGUAGGUGAAGUCCCUGCGGAUGGAGCUGAGACCAGUCGAAGAUACCAGCUGGCUGCAACUGUUUAUUAAAAACACAGCACUGUGCAAACACGAAAGUGGACGUAUACGGUGUGACGCCUGCCCGGUGCCGGAAGGUUAAUUGAUGGGGUUAUCCGUAAGGAGAAGCUCUUGAUCGAAGCCCCGGUAAACGGCGGCCGUAACUAUAACGGUCCUAAGGUAGCGAAAUUCCUUGUCGGGUAAGUUCCGACCUGCACGAAUGGCGUAAUGAUGGCCAGGCUGUCUCCACCCGAGACUCAGUGAAAUUGAACUCGCUGUGAAGAUGCAGUGUACCCGCGGCAAGACGGAAAGACCCCGUGAACCUUUACUAUAGCUUGACACUGAACAUUGAGCCUUGAUGUGUAGGAUAGGUGGGAGGCUUUGAAGCGUGGACGCCAGUCUGCGUGGAGCCAACCUUGAAAUACCACCCUUUAAUGUUUGAUGUUCUAACGUUGGCCCCUGACCGGGGUUGCGGACAGUGUCUGGUGGGUAGUUUGACUGGGGCGGUCUCCUCCCAAAGCGUAACGGAGGAGCACGAAGGUUAGCUAAUCCUGGUCGGACAUCAGGAGGUUAGUGCAAUGGCAUAAGCUAGCUUGACUGCGAGCGUGACGGCGCGAGCAGGUGCGAAAGCAGGUCAUAGUGAUCCGGUGGUUCUGAAUGGAAGGGCCAUCGCUCAACGGAUAAAAGGUACUCCGGGGAUAACAGGCUGAUACCGCCCAAGAGUUCAUAUCGACGGCGGUGUUUGGCACCUCGAUGUCGGCUCAUCACAUCCUGGGGCUGAAGUAGGUCCCAAGGGUAUGGCUGUUCGCCAUUUAAAGUGGUACGCGAGCUGGGUUUAGAACGUCGUGAGACAGUUCGGUCCCUAUCUGCCGUGGGCGCUGGAGAAUUGAGGGGGGCUGCUCCUAGUACGAGAGGACCGGAGUGGACGCAUCACUGGUGUUCGGGUUGUCAUGCCAAUGGCACUGCCCGGUAGCUAAAUGCGGAAGAGAUAAGUGCUGAAAGCAUCUAAGCACGAAACUUGCCCCGAGAUGAGUUCUCCCUGAGACUUUAAGUCUCCUGAAGGAACGUUGAAGACGACGACGUUGAUAGGCCGGGUGUGUAAGCGCAGCGAUGCGUUGAGCUAACCGGUACUAAUGAACCGUGAGGCUUAACCUU